CCUACGGGAGGCUGCAGUGGGGAAUAUUGCACAAUGGGGGAAACCCUGAUGCAGCGACGCCGCGUGAGUGAAGAAGUAUUUCGGUAUGUAAAGCUCUAUCAGCAGGGAAGAUAAUGACGGUACCUGACUAAGAAGCCCCGGCUAACUACGUGCCAGCAGCCGCGGUAAUACGUAGGGGGCAAGCGUUAUCCGGAUUUACUGGGUGGAAAGGGAGCGUAGGUGGCAGGGCAAGUCAGAUGUGAAAACCCGGGGCUCAACCCCGGGAGUGCAUUUGAAACUGUCCAGCUGGAGUGCAGGAGAGGUAAGCGGAAUUCCUAGUGUAGCGGUGAAAUGUAUAGAUAUUAGGAGGAACACCAGUGGCGAAGGCGGCUUACUGGACUGUAACUGACACUGAGGCUCGAAAGCGUGGGGAGCAAACAGGAUUAGAUACCCCGGUAGUC
This 440-nucleotide ribosomal RNA is filed under the name uncultured bacterium. RNAcentral describes it as "partial 16S ribosomal RNA". It matches the Rfam family "Bacterial small subunit ribosomal RNA", at positions 338 to 795 of the family's 1533-position model. The record is from RNAcentral.